RNAcentral lists this ribosomal RNA (486 nucleotides) under uncultured bacterium. Its description in RNAcentral is "bacterial SSU rRNA". It matches the Rfam family "Bacterial small subunit ribosomal RNA", at positions 32 to 524 of the family's 1533-position model. The record is from RNAcentral.
AAUCAACGCUGGCGGCGUGCCUCAGACAUGCAAGUCGAACGAUUAAAGCUCUCUUCGGAGAGUGCAUAGAGUGGCGCACGGGUGAGUAACACGUAAGUAAUCUACCUUCGAGUGGGGAAUAACAUCGGGAAACCGAUGCUAAUACCGCAUAAUGCAGCGGCAUCGCAAGAUGACAGUUGUUAAAGGAGCAAUUCGCUUGAAGAGGAGCUGCGGCAGAUUAGCUAGUUGGUAAGGUAAUGGCUUACCAAGGCUACGAUCUGUAUCCGGUCUAAGAGGACGGUCGGACACACUGACACUGAAUAACGGGUCAGACUCCUACGGGAGGCAGCAGUCGGGUAAUUUUGGGUCAAUGGGCGAAAGCCUGACCCAGCAACGCCGCGUGAAGGAUGAAGUAUUUCGGUAUGUUAAACUUACGAAAGAAUAGGAAGAAUAAUGACGGUACUAUUUAUAAGGUCCGGCUAACUACGUGCCAGCCGCCGCGGUAAC